AAAGUUUUACCAUACACCUUCGGAUUCGAUCCGGACGCUCUCUCUCCAAGAACAACAGUCAUUCGCCUUCGACCCUCUCUCCCACUCCAGAAUCCUCAAGCGCUCUCCAGUCUCCACUUCUCGCGCAUCAACCCUCUUCUCCCCAACUUCAUCGUCAUCGGCGGAGUUCCCGACUCCGAUUCGUGAAAGCUCGGUCCUCCUCUCCCUCUCGCUAACCCCGACAACCCCAAUAUCAUAUAAAGGUUACAAGUCAUCGGCGUUAGUUUUGUAUUGAAACCGUACAAUUUAAUUGGAAAUUGGGGGUUUCGAAUUUGCAGUUGACUCCGACAUAGUAGUGAAGCCGAUUGAAGGAUUCGUCGUGUUGGUGACGGUCAGUUGGUUGGUGAAGGCUGGUGGUCGCCGUCGUUCAAAAUCGGCUCAUCUUCGAUCUGGUCCAGGAGCUGACCUUCCCUCUCGCCAGAUUAUUGAAACCCCAAGGUCAAUGCUUCUCUCAGUUUGAAUACUAGAAGCAGCGGUUCCAAUUGGCUUCGCUUUUCUUGGGGUUGGAGUUGGGGGUGGGGGAUAACAACGGUGGAUCAGAUACUGCUGCGCUUUUAAUAAUAAUGGAGUAGCCUUGAAUAGUGCGGUGGCAGGCAGCCACAAAAAAGUAUUGAUUUUGAUGAAGAAUUUGGAGAUGAAUAUCAGGAUACAGAGGACAAUGAUGUGUUUACUUAUUAGUCAAGGGAAGCUUCUUUUAUAGCAUAAGAAAUAAAUAUUAUGCUUUUGUUCAAUAUGUGCUGUAGUUUUUAUCUUCUGCUUCCCUCUUCCCAUGAAUAUUGCAGUAGGAAGUACGAAAAUAAAACAGGUUCUGUAAUAAGCAUAUUAGUUCUGCUAAUAUUUUUCACGCUUCCUGCCGGUAUUCAUAAAGUACUUGGCUAAUGGAACUUCCCAUAAAUCUUUUUCAAUUGAUCCUGGUUGUUACUCUAUUCUCCAGUCUGCUAAGAAAUGGAGAAAUCUUAAUAUUUCCUAAAUUGUCACCACCAUUCAACAAUAUUGGAUUAGUUGGUGUAAGUACUUUAUUUUAACAUUCUGUUGCUGAGGUGCAUUUGUUGAACAGUUGGACUUUUUUUAUAUAAAAAAAUUAAGUCAAUCUACUAAGUUGAAUGUUGGAAUUUGUUGUGGUUAAAUGUAUGGUUGUUCUCACUGUGUUUGAUAAUUUGGCUUAUAUCUUUUCUUAGACCAUCUUUCAAUAAUGUAAUUUGACUGCACUCACUCUUCAAUAUGGGCAGCAUCACAUUCUAUGAUUGUUGUCAUUGUGCCCAAGUCUUUGCAACAACUGGGCUGUAAUCUGAUAUGAUUGUUGUCAUUGUGCUCAAGUCUUUGCCAGCUUGUAUUAUAGACCCCAUCCUAAGUGGAUUUUCUGUGCUAGCAUACAUCCUUUUUUAUUUUGGAAAACUUUUAGCGUCAGUAUUUCAAGCUUCCAAACUUCACUAUGAUUCUGCCUACGUAGUGCAUAAAGUUAUUGUUUCAAGCUUUCUUUUCUUCAUGAUUGGAUGGGAGUCUGCUAUAUAUCGUCAGCUUAUGUUUAUAAUUGAAAUUCUGACAUUUGAAAUUCAUAAUUUCUCUG
Rosa rugosa (rugosa rose) is the source of this 1606-nucleotide long non-coding RNA. RefSeq lists it as uncharacterized. The transcript has 3 exons. NCBI's taxonomy places the organism in Eukaryota, Viridiplantae, Streptophyta, Magnoliopsida, Rosales, Rosaceae. The record is from RefSeq and is a predicted model, not a curated record.